AUUGAACGCUGGCGGCAGGCCUAACACAUGCAAGUCGAACGGUAACAGGAAGACGCUUGCUUCUUUGCUGACGAGUGGCGGACGGGUGAGUAAUGUCUGGGAAACUGCCUGAUGGAGGGGGAUAACUACUGGAAACGGUAGCUAAUACCGCAUAACGUCGCAAGACCAAAGAGGGGGACCUUCGGGCCUCUUGCCAUCGGAUGUGCCCAGAUGGGAUUAGCUAGUAGGUGGGGUAACGGCUCACCUAGGCGACGAUCCCUAGCUGGUCUGAGAGGAUGACCAGCCACACUGGAACUGAGACACGGUCCAGACUCCUACGGGAGGCAGCAGUGGGGAAUAUUGCACAAUGGGCGCAAGCCUGAUGCAGCCAUGCCGCGUGUAUGAAGAAGGCCUUCGGGUUGUAAAGUACUUUCAGCGGGGAGGAAGGGAGUAAAGUUAAUACCUUGGCUCAUUGACGUUACCCGCAGAAGAAGCACCGGCUAACUCCGUG
Molecule: ribosomal RNA, 490 nt
Filed under: uncultured bacterium
Lineage: Bacteria
Description: partial 16S ribosomal RNA
Rfam family: Bacterial small subunit ribosomal RNA
Source: RNAcentral